RNAcentral lists this ribosomal RNA (254 nucleotides) under uncultured bacterium. RNAcentral describes it as "partial 16S ribosomal RNA". It matches the Rfam family "Bacterial small subunit ribosomal RNA", at positions 524 to 776 of the family's 1533-position model. The record is from RNAcentral.
CACGUAGGGGGCGAGCGUUGUCCGGAAUCAUUGGGCGUAAAGAGCUCGUAGGCGGCUCGGUAAGUCGGGUGUGAAACCCCCAGGCUCAACCUGGGGACGCCACCCGAUACUGCUGUGGCUAGAGUCCAGUAGGGGAGUGUGGAAUUCCCGGUGUAGCGGUGAAAUGCGCAGAUAUCGGGAGGAACACCAGUGGCGAAGGCGACUUCCUGGCCCGUUCUUGACGCUGAGGCGCGAAAGCUAGGGGAGCAAACGGG